UACGUAGGUGGCAAGCGUUAUCCGGAUUUAUUGGGCGUAAAGGGAACGCAGGCGGUCUUUUAAGUCUGAUGUGAAAGCCUUCGGCUUAACCGGAGUAGUGCAUUGGAAACUGGGAGACUUGAGUGCAGAAGAGGAGAGUGGAACUCCAUGUGUAGCGGUGAAAUGCGUAGAUAUAUGGAAGAACACCAGUGGCGAAAGCGGCUCUCUGGUCUGUAACUGGCGCUGAGGUUCGAAAGCGUGGGUAGCAAACAGG
Molecule: ribosomal RNA, 253 nt
Filed under: uncultured bacterium
Lineage: Bacteria
Description: partial 16S ribosomal RNA
Rfam family: Bacterial small subunit ribosomal RNA
Source: RNAcentral